Molecule: ribosomal RNA, 314 nt
Filed under: Psychrobacter glacincola
Lineage: Bacteria; Pseudomonadati; Pseudomonadota; Gammaproteobacteria; Moraxellales; Moraxellaceae
Description: bacterial SSU rRNA
Rfam family: Bacterial small subunit ribosomal RNA
Source: RNAcentral
GUGCCAGCAGCCGCGGUAAUACAGAGGGUGCAAGCGUUAAUCGGAAUUACUGGGCGUAAAGCGAGCGUAGGUGGCUUGAUAAGUCAGAUGUGAAAUCCCCGGGCUUAACCUGGGAACUGCAUCUGAAACUGUUAGGCUAGAGUAGGUGAGAGGGAAGUAGAAUUUCAGGUGUAGCGGUGAAACGCGUAGAGAUCUGAAGGAAUACCGAUGGCGAAGGCAGCUUCCUGGCAUCAUACUGACACUGAGGCUCGAAAGCGUGGGUAGCAAACAGGAUUAGAUACCCUGGUAGUCCACGCCGUAAACGAUGUCUACUA